This 695-nucleotide unclassified non-coding RNA is filed under the name Hevea brasiliensis (rubber tree). Lineage: Eukaryota; Viridiplantae; Streptophyta; Magnoliopsida; Malpighiales; Euphorbiaceae. The record is from RNAcentral.
GUUUGAUGAUAGAACAGCAAAUGCUAUAUGCUCGGCAUGCUUUCAUUCAUCAUCGAGGAUUAUGAUUGCCUCUUUAUCCUUUCUUCUUGAUUAUGAGAAAAUUGAAGAUGACUCAGAUAGUGAUAUGGCAGAUAGUGAAGAUGAGCAGACAGCCAAUCAGCCUCAGGUUUUGCUAAACAAAGAGGCUAUUUAUAAGGCAAAUAACAAGGGUACAUCAUCCAGCAAAAAGAAAAAGCAAGCAAAGUUGCAGCGUGCCGUCCGCAGCAUGAAGAAGCAGCAGCGCAUGCAAUCUGAAAAUAACAACAGUAGUUAUUAUUCCCCAUUAAACCACUUAAAGGAUGCUCAGGGAUUUGCUGAAAAGCUUUUCUCACGUCUUCAGACUUGCGAUGAGAGGUUUGAGGUUAAAAUGAUGUUGAUGAAAGUAAUUGCCCGAACAGUUGGGCUCCAUCACUUGAUUUUGUUGAACUUCUAUCCUUACCUUCAGAGAUAUGUUCAGCCCCAUCAGCGCGAUGUGACAAAUUUGCUUGCUGCAGCGGUUCAGGCAUGUCAUGAUAUGGUGCCUCCUGAUGCUGUUGAACCAUUAUUUAAACAAGUAGUCAAUCAGUUUGUGCAUGACCGUUCAAGGCCUGAGGCUAUAUCUGUCGGACUCAAUGUAAUCCGAGAAAUAUGCUUACGCAUGCCUUUGUUGAUGACAG